This is a long non-coding RNA of Phascolarctos cinereus (koala), 1594 nucleotides long. NCBI's taxonomy places the organism in Eukaryota, Metazoa, Chordata, Mammalia, Diprotodontia, Phascolarctidae. The record is from Ensembl.
CACACAGGUCAGGGACUGCUUUGUUUCAGUCUCUGUGUCCCUGGUGCCUGGAACAGUGUCUGGCACAUAAAUGUUACUUAACAAAUACUGGUCGAUCAAGUGACUGGCCAUCUAGUGGCAACUCUUCAUUUUAAAAAGGAGGAGGGUCACAGUAUCCCUCCACAACCCAGGCGGAGCUGGGCACCGAGGGGACGCCUGCCUCCCUGCCUUUGGGGGUGCCUUGGCUUAGGGGCACAUCAGCUGCCUGGGCCUUGGGCCUUCAGGGACCUUGGCUCAAAUCUUCCUGGUGCUGAAUCAUAGGCCGAGCUCUGGGGCCACCAACAGACAACACAGCCCAGGCAGCCUGGCUAUUGACAGAGGCCUUGCUCACGGCCCUGGACCUCAACCAGCACGUCCCAAAUGUGCUGUGUCUCUAGGCCUCCCUGGCCCCAGCCUCAGCAUCCUCCAGGAAGGGCCCAGGUGUUGGUCUUGAAAGAGAGAGGCAUCAGCACAGCCCCGGUGUCCGCUGCCUGAGCCGCCUCGGGCAGGUUGCUUUCCCACUCUGUGGGCCUCAGUUUCUCCAUCUGUACGAUGGGCGAGUUAGACCAGAGGACGUCCAGGUCCCUUGCAGGUUGACAUUCUGUGCUUGUGGCCACCAUGAACUCUGGCGUCCAGGCCUCUGCUGCAGAUCCGGUUCUUCUGCUACCGGCUUUUUGGACACCUGCCUGCUUGUGAGGUCCCCUCCCCCAGCCUCCGCAGGCGCUAGAAAUUAAUUUCCUUGCUCUUUGUAAUAGAGUCUUUGGUAGCAGCCAGCUAGUCACCAGCGCCCAGAGAAGCAUGCCUACUGGCUAUUGCCAUGGAAACUGGAACCGAGCUAACCACCUCACAGGGCCCAGCAUUGACUAUAGCUGCCACUGGGGCAAAAGUGGCUUCUGCUCCAAGUCUGGGCAGCGGUUCCCUUCCUUCAGAAUGAUUGAAUUAAAAGAUGAUGACCCCCAGGCCAUUAAGCAGGAGUUUACAAAGAUUCAUCAGAAAGUGGAUGCCCUUCUGAGCAGCCUGGAGAAAGAGCCGGCCCAACAGCCAGAGAGGCAGGAGGCACCCAAGGGGGUUUCAAGCAGCAGCAGCAGCAGCAGCUGCAAGGAUCCCCUGACUAACGUGAAGAUGGGGCCUGAGGAUGGCAGCAGCAGUGGCAGCCCCGGACACUGGGCCUAGGACGGGUCAUCCUGGAGGAGGGGUCAUCCUGGCUGAAGGUCUGGCUGAAGGUCAAGGCUCAAGGACCAGCUGGGGGUGGCUAAGGGACACUGGGGGAGGAUUAGCAGCAGCAGCAGCGCUCUCCAGCACCCUGGGCAGGGGGGUGAUGGGGCCUUCGAGGGCUCCCCUGGCCUCAUUGUAACACCAGGGCCCUCGUCCUAGAGCCAGCCUCACCAGGUUCUCUCCCGUGGUACGUGCUCACUGUUGCCCUCAACCUUAGCCUCUCCCUCAAUCCCCUGUGCCUGCAGAGGCCUCUUUCCAACCACAAUUCUUAGAGGAGUUCGAUGAAGAUCUCUCUAUUUUCCUCAUUUAACUAAGAAACCUUGUUUUGGCUAAAACAAUAAAGUUCUGUUGUCCUGCUGCA